GUGGCAGAAGAUACAAUCACUGAUGCCUGCGAUUUCACUCAACAACUCGUCUCGCACGCCCCACCAUUUCUUGUGAAGUGGUUUCCUGAAACAAUGAGUUAGAGAUGAUAUUAGAGGUUUGUUCCGGCCUCAGGGAGCUUAAGGUCUCACUGAACUCGCGCUGGUGGUGGUCGUAGCGUUUCUUCUCGUGAUCGAACUCGGCUCCGACGUCGACUACUAUGUCGCAUUCUUUAAGCUUUUCCAUAUCUCUUGUUCUGACAAUUGCGGCGUCUUUAAACUCCGGAAGGCACUUAAGCAUGAAGCAAGCCAAAACUUCAUCGCAAUGGAAGACGCCAUCGUGAGUUCCGAUCUAAAAUUAUUUAUUAUUAUGUGAGUUUUAGAAUCAAUAAAUGUAGUCAACUGA
This is a long non-coding RNA of Melitaea cinxia (Glanville fritillary), 403 nucleotides long. RefSeq lists it as uncharacterized. The record is from RefSeq and is a predicted model, not a curated record. The transcript has 2 exons. Lineage: Eukaryota; Metazoa; Arthropoda; Insecta; Lepidoptera; Nymphalidae.